Long non-coding RNA from Armigeres subalbatus, 999 nucleotides. RefSeq lists it as uncharacterized. Lineage: Eukaryota; Metazoa; Arthropoda; Insecta; Diptera; Culicidae. The transcript has 2 exons. The record is from RefSeq and is a predicted model, not a curated record.
CAUUUACACAACUGCCACUUGCCAUAAAGUUGUGUAAUAAAAAAGCUGCCAUUUUUAAUAUGCUUUUUAGGAUAAAAGCUUAGAACUAAAGUAGAUUAAAUAUUAAUGAGUCCUGAGAGAAAUUAUUUAGCUUCAAAGUAAUACUAUAAAACUCGUCUAAAAAUAAUAUGAAUGUAUUAGUAAAUUUCAAUUAUUCUAAAGCUAUGACUACGCAAAUUUGAGGAACUAAUAUGUGCUUCUGAAACUGCUCUGCCAUUUCUAUUUUAACUUGGCUGAAGAGUAGAAGCCAGUUUCAGUGCGAUUGUAGUGCAGUGAUGAAAACUUAAUAUACAUUCUUAUUUCUAUUUUCUUAAAAUUAUUUAAAUAGUUCGAGUACGUUUAAUUUCGCACGAGGCGAACGCUCUACUCUCGAGCAAUUUAUUUUAGUACUUAAAGCGUCCGAACGACGCUUUUUGUACGGGUUUUUCUUUUUCCCGUUCCCGCUGGACACGUCUCGUCCACGCGGUGUGAACCCGGCCGUGCGGGCCCGCCAUUACGGUAGCCAAACGAGGAUUGAGGCAUUCCGACCUACCGAGAUUCUCCAAAGGAAAGUUUCCCCCAGUCCCGGUGGUUGUGUAGUCCCACAGACGAAGGCCAGUUGGAGACCCGUGACGCUUCCUGAGGAGAGGAGACGGCAGAGUAUCGGACCAUCAGCCACCGCCCUUUCUCGCAACUAUAGAUCGGCCAACUACGCACGUGUGCCCAUUCCGGCGAUGCAUCUGCCGAAGAGCUCGAGUGUUCCGUCGCACCAUUGAUCGGACACCCCCUGUAGCUGGCACCGUCGUUAUCAUCGCUCGAUGACGACACAGCCCUGUCGGUAUACCAGCCGCCAGCAUAAACCCUGAUCAGGUAUGUCGCAAAUCAUGGCCAUGUAACACACACAACAACACUCACACUCUCACUACACACUAAAAUGAAUCUUGGAAAAAAAACAUAAUACAUAAAUGAAUUCAAUAUAAA